AUAAAAUCACCAUGUCUGAUUAUAUUUAUUUGUUAUUGGAAAUCCCAAAUUAUCACAAAUUUUCCUGAUUUCCAUUAAUUUCGAUUUUUAGUUGUCAAUGCCGUUGAUAACGAGUGGUUUAAUUUAAAAAAUGCUCAUUCAUUCAAAACUUCUUUGAUGGAAUCUCAUUAAAUAUGAAGAAAUAAAUAAAAAAUAAUAAAAUUCAAUACAGAACUACGAUAGAGUCUAAAAGUACUGAAGUCUACUCUGGCGUUUUUCUACACCAUAACCGAAUAAUUACGAGGCCCGAAUAAUGUAUGCCGCUAACCUAUGAUCGCUGUGUAAUUUUGACAUCAUUGGCACACAUCAUCAUAUCCAGUGUUGCGUCCCGACAAGACGUACGAUAGCAUGGAAAUAAAUUUCAUUACGAUUACUCAUCGCUCUGGUUGCGGGUAACGGGGGGGAAAUAGGGGUGGAGGUACUUACGGUCUUGGAAGCCGAUCUGAGAGGCUGAUCUGGAAAUACUCC
Fopius arisanus is the source of this 507-nucleotide long non-coding RNA. RefSeq lists it as uncharacterized. The transcript is spliced from 3 exons. The record is from RefSeq and is a predicted model, not a curated record. NCBI's taxonomy places the organism in Eukaryota, Metazoa, Arthropoda, Insecta, Hymenoptera, Braconidae.